Long non-coding RNA from Pseudophryne corroboree (corroboree frog), 840 nucleotides. RefSeq lists it as uncharacterized. The transcript has 3 exons. Lineage: Eukaryota; Metazoa; Chordata; Amphibia; Anura; Myobatrachidae. The record is from RefSeq and is a predicted model, not a curated record.
UGUCCAGGUGGUCUGUGAUGCAAACUUAAAAAUUAUGAGUGUUGUUGCAGGUUACCCUGGUGGCUGCCAUGACUCCUUCAUCCUCAGUCAGUCAUCGCUCUUCGAUAAAUUUGAGGACGGACAAAUGCCUGAUGGCUGGCUGUUGGGUAUGUUUAAAAUGUUUUGUGUGUAUGUCUUUUAUCCACAAACUCGAGUUAUGAUUAGGUGAAAGAAUAAUCUAACAUAUGUACUAAUGUGGACUAUAUCUGUUUUUCAGGUGAUGGGGGUUACGGCUGCUACUCUUGGCUCCUUACUCCAUUGUCCCAACCUGAUUCUCCUGCUGAACACAGUUACAAUCAUGCACAUAAGGCUACGCGGAAUGUGAUAGAAAGAUGUUUUGGUGUGCUGAAGUCACGGUUUCGGUGUCUGGAUAAAUCUGCUGGCCUUUUGUUGUAUAGUCCCUCAAAGAUAACUGAGGGGAUCGGGGCUCAUCACUCUGCGAACUCGCCAAUAGUGCCAGUGGUGGCUGGGGUGACACUGCCGAAAGUCGUCGCCUGGGUGGGGAUGAUGGAGCCGCAGAUUCCGAGCCAAGACGCCGUGUCUUACUUGGCCUCCUGGAAUAUGUGACUACACUGAAGUCUUACCUGCAAUCCCAGCCUCAUCCUGACUUGUCUGAGGCCUGUCUGGCCGGCUGGUCUGUGGGACUGUUGAAAAAGUGUACCAAACAUUAUUACCAUGCUUUGUGUAAAAAAAAACCCUGCAAAGCCUUAUUGUACUGUAACCAUCUAUUAGGUAUUGGAUAAACAAAUAAUUUCUGAUUAAGAGCUUCAAGCUUCAUUAUUUUGUGGUGUAUAUCCAAAU